GACAGAGGGUGCAAACGUUGUUCGGAAUUACUGGGCGUAAAGCGCGUGUAGGCGGCUUGGCAAGUCGGGUGUGAAAGCCCCGGGCUCAACCUGGGAAGUGCACUCGAAACUGCUUGGCUUGAGUACUGGAGAGGGAAGCGGAAUUCUCGGUGUAGAGGUGAAAUUCGUAGAUAUCGAGAGGAACACCGGUGGCGAAGGCGACUUACUGGACGAUUGUUGACGCUGAGGUGCGAAAGCGUGGGGAGCUAACAGG
RNAcentral lists this ribosomal RNA (253 nucleotides) under uncultured bacterium. RNAcentral describes it as "partial 16S ribosomal RNA". It matches the Rfam family "Bacterial small subunit ribosomal RNA", at positions 524 to 776 of the family's 1533-position model. The record is from RNAcentral.